AUGACUGUUGGAAAGGAUGUUUCGUCGUUGUUCACAGACGUGGUGAAUUGUAUGCAGACAGAAAAUUUGGAGCUGAAAAAGUUAGUCUAUUUAUAUUUGAUAAAUUAUGCAAAGAGCCAGCCUGACCUUGCUAUAAUCGCAGUAAAUACAUUUGUGAAGGAUUCUCAAGAUCCAAAUCCUUUAAUUCGUUCCUUAGCUGUGCGGACAAUGGGUUGCAUUCGUGUGGAUAAAAUUACCGACAAACUAACUGUAUAG
Vicia faba (fava bean) is the source of this 255-nucleotide non-coding RNA. The record is from the annotation of a GenBank genome assembly. Lineage: Eukaryota; Viridiplantae; Streptophyta; Magnoliopsida; Fabales; Fabaceae.